CCUACGGGGGGCAGCAGUGGGGAAUAUUGGACAAUGGGGGGAACCCUGAUCCAGCGACGCCGCGUGAGUGAAGAAGUAUUUCGGUAUGUAAAGCUCUAUCAGCAGGGAAGAAAAUGACGGUACCUGACUAAGAAGCCCCGGCUAACUACGUACCAGCAUCCGCGGUAAUACGUAGGGAGCAAGCGUUAUCCGGAUUUACUGGGUGGAAAGGGAGCGUAGACGGUGCAGCAGGUCUGGUGUGAAAGGUCGGGGCCGAACCCGGGGACUGCAUUGGAAACUGUUGAGAUGGAGUACAGGAGAGGUAAGCGGAAUUCGUAGUGUAGCGGUGAAAUGCUUAGAUAUUAGGAGGAACACCAGUGGCGAAGGCGGCUUACUGGACUGUAACUGACGUUGAGGCUCGAAAGCGUGGGGAGCAAACAGGAUUAGAUACCCUUGUAGUC
This 440-nucleotide ribosomal RNA is filed under the name uncultured bacterium. RNAcentral's name for it is "partial 16S ribosomal RNA". It matches the Rfam family "Bacterial small subunit ribosomal RNA", at positions 338 to 795 of the family's 1533-position model. The record is from RNAcentral.